This 253-nucleotide ribosomal RNA is filed under the name uncultured bacterium. Its description in RNAcentral is "partial 16S ribosomal RNA". It matches the Rfam family "Bacterial small subunit ribosomal RNA", at positions 524 to 776 of the family's 1533-position model. The record is from RNAcentral.
UACGGAGGGUGCAAGCGUUGUCCGGAAUCACUGGGCGUAAAGGGCGCGUAGGCGGCUCAUGAAGGCUGUGGUGAAAGUCCGGGGCUCAACCUCGGAUCGGCCGUGGCGACUCGUGGGCUGGAGCACUGUAGAGGCGGGUGGAAUUCCGGGUGUAGCGGUGGAAUGCGUAGAGAUCGGGAGGAACACCUGUGGCGAAAGCGGCUCACUGGACCACAACUGACGCUGAGGCGCGAAAGCUAGGGGAGCAAACAGG